RNAcentral lists this ribosomal RNA (477 nucleotides) under uncultured bacterium. RNAcentral describes it as "SSU rRNA". It matches the Rfam family "Bacterial small subunit ribosomal RNA", at positions 26 to 518 of the family's 1533-position model. The record is from RNAcentral.
AGGAUAAACGCUGGCGGCGUGCCUAACACAUGCAAGUCGAACGUCCUACGCAAGUAGGGAGUGGCGGACGGGUGAGUAACACGUGGGCAAUCUACCUUUCGGUGAGGAAUACCGGCGAGAAAUCGCCGACAAUACCGCAUACGCUUCGCAAGAAGCAAAGUCGCAAGACGCCGGAGGAGGAGCCUGCGCCCGAUUAGCUGGUUGGUGAGGUAAGAGCUCACCAAGGCGACGAUCGGUAGCUGGUCUGAGAGGAUGAUCAGCCACACUGGGAUUGAGAACGGCCCAGACUCCUACGGGGGGCAGCAGUGAGGAAUUUUCGUCAAUGGGGGGCAACCCUGAACGAGCAACGCCGCGUGGAGGAUGAAGGUCUUCGGAUUGUAAACUCCUGUCAUUAGGGAACAAUUGCCAGCGAUUAACUGUCGCGGGCUUGAUAGUACCUGAAGAGGAAGAGACGGCUAACUCUGUGCCAGCAGCCGC